RNAcentral lists this ribosomal RNA (1461 nucleotides) under Triticum aestivum (bread wheat). RNAcentral describes it as "partial small subunit ribosomal RNA". Lineage: Eukaryota; Viridiplantae; Streptophyta; Magnoliopsida; Poales; Poaceae. The record is from RNAcentral.
UACAACUUGGAAUCGGCGGAGAGAGAGGAAAGGGGUGAAGAGACAGCGGAGAGGAGGGCACCGGAAGCCGGUCGGCGGCGGCGGCGGCGGCGCGCUGGAGACGAGGAGGGGCCGCAGCUUGAGUCCGGCGGCGAGGCAGGGGACAGGGGCAGCGUGGAGGGGAGUUCGGCGGCCGACCGGGAGAGGGUGAGCAGGAGGAGGGACGAGGGUAAGGAGGGAACACCCUUGGGAUCGGCGACGGGUGAGGGUGAGCAGGAGGAGGGGCGAGGGGAAGGACCGCCGCGUGGACUGGCGGCGCGCUGGAGACGAGGAGGGGCCACAGCUUGAGUCCAGCGGCGAGGCAGGGGGCAGGGGCAGCGUGGAGGGGAACUCGGCGGCCGACCGCGAGAGGGAAGUGGCCUCCUCAACCCACUCCGGCACUCCUCGCCUCCGUCACCGAACAACGUCUGCGACGACGCCGAGGGAAAAGAAGGAGCGGUAGAAGAAGCGGAGGGAGGAGACGUGGGUUCAUUACGCCGGUCGGGAGCAGUUGGGGCCGAUCGCCUAAGUAAUCGGAAGAUGAGGUUAGCGAUGGGGCUCUAGGUAGCAACAACACAACAACGACCACUCUCGAUCCUCCUUCUCUCCCUCCGUUUCCCUACCUCUAUCUGUCCCCUUCCUCUUUCCCAGAAAGAGACAACUAGAGGAAAAACACCGCACCAUACCGUCCUUUAAAUAGGUAGGUGGGCACCACUCUUGAACGACAGCGACCACGAUUUGACCACAACGACGUCGUCUGUUUACGGUACCUAGUUCACGGUAAGUCUACAACGUCCUCAGUUCACACACAUUUAGAAUUUCUAAUCUGGUUACCUAUAGUUUCUUUUCCUCGAGCUGGUCCACUUCAAGAACAAACAACCCAACGAUUGUUUAACGUCGACACACGACGUGACGACCAUGGUAAGUAUAGGAUCUUCAACAUCGAAGGUCGGAAAAUCAUUGAUGUGUUUUGACGGUUUCGAAGUGUCGGUAGUACCUUAGUGGUGGCCAGGAGGGAACGAGUUCAGUACCUCCCCGUCGGCCAUGGCCACCCACUCCUCUAGGUACUGACCUGUUGUAGUACAAGACAAAUUUGGAUACGGAGGGGUCCCUUAGUGGUGGCCAGGAGGAAAAGAGUUCAGUACCUACCCGUCGGCCAUGGCCACCCACUCCUCUAGGUACUGACCUGUCGCGUCUGCGGGUCUACCGCUCCUUCUGCUCAGUAGCAGCGACGGUUGGAGGCGGAGCCGGGGGUGUGGGGACUGCGCUCGAAACGGAGGAGACGGCGACAACGUAGAAGAGGUCACGGAGGAGGGGUAGCCUGAGCAGACGGAGGGACAGUACGUCUAAUCUCUCUAAGAAAAAUUUGAGUUGGACACAGUAUUCGAUGAACCAAGGAAGAGUAAUGAACCUCCUACGUACCUAACCUCUCUAAUACCUACU